Molecule: ribosomal RNA, 279 nt
Filed under: uncultured Acholeplasma sp.
Lineage: Bacteria; Bacillati; Mycoplasmatota; Mollicutes; Acholeplasmatales; Acholeplasmataceae
Description: partial 16S ribosomal RNA
Rfam family: Bacterial small subunit ribosomal RNA
Source: RNAcentral
CCCUAUUGCUAGUUACCAUCAUUAAGUUGGGGACGUCUAGCGAGACUGCCAGUGAUAAACUGGAGGAAGGUGGGGAUGACGUCAAAUCAUCAUGCCCCUUAUGACCUGGGCUACAAACGUGAUACAAUGGCUGGAACAAAGGGAUGCGAAGCAGUGAUGUGGAGCGAAACCCAUAAAAACAGUCUCAGUUCGGAUUGAAGUCUGCAACUCGACUUCAUGAAGUCGGAAUCGCUAGUAAUCGCGGAUCAGAACGCCGCGGUGAAUACGUUCUCGGGGUUU